Molecule: long non-coding RNA, 451 nt
Filed under: Ictidomys tridecemlineatus (thirteen-lined ground squirrel)
Lineage: Eukaryota; Metazoa; Chordata; Mammalia; Rodentia; Sciuridae
Description: lncRNA (ENSSTOG00000029307.1)
Source: RNAcentral
CUUGCUUUAAUGUGUGAGGCACUGGGUUCCACUCUCAGCACCGCAUAUAGAUAAGCAAAAAAAGUCUAUCUUGGAAUUUAAUGGAAUACUGUCUUCAAGAUGCUAAGGAAAAGUAUCUGGGCAUUUAGAAUUUUACAAUGUCAAAUGAUUACUGAUGACUGAAUAAAAAUAAAGACGUUUUCAUACAAACAGGACCUACAGAGUUUACUGCCCAAAGACCUUUGGUGAAAGAAUUGCCAAGAACAUUUUUAAAAAGUGAACUUGGAGGAAUAGAAUACAAGAAUGAACAGUGAGCAAAGAAAUGGGGAGAAGAGCUGAAUCAUACUACCUGCAGCUUUGGUCAUAUGAAGAUAUUUUUUUUCUACUUCCGUUGGUUUACCUUUAGGUAAUAUUUUGAAUAAAUUUCUAUGUAUAUUUAGUUAUUUAAAAAUUUUUAUAAUAGUAAUAUGCU